Molecule: ribosomal RNA, 1988 nt
Filed under: metagenome
Description: bacterial LSU rRNA
Rfam family: Bacterial large subunit ribosomal RNA
Source: RNAcentral
UUAAGUUAUUAAGGGCGCACGGUGGAUGCCUUGGCACUAGAAGCCGAUGAAGGACGUUACUAACGACGAUAUGCUUUGGGUAGCUGUAAGUAAGCGUUGAUCCAGAGAUUUCCGAAUGGGGGAACCCAGCAUGAGUUAUGUCAUGUUAUCGAUAUGUGAAUUUAUAGCAUGUCAGAAGGCAGACCCGGAGAACUGAAACAUCUUAGUACCCGGAGGAAGAGAAAGAAAAAUCGAUUCCCUGAGUAGCGGCGAGCGAAACGGGAAGAGCCCAAACCAACAAGCUUGCUUGUUGGGGUUGUAGGACACUCUAUACGGAGUUACAAAAGAACAUGUUAGACGAAUCAUCUGGAAAGAUGAAUCAAAGAAGGUAAUAAUCCUGUAGUCGAAAACAUAUUCUCUCUUGAGUGGAUCCUGAGUACGACGGAGCACGUGAAAUUCCGUCGGAAUCUGGGAGGACCAUCUCCUAAGGCUAAAUACUCUCUAGUGACCGAUAGUGAACCAGUACCGUGAGGGAAAGGUGAAAAGUACCCCGGAAGGGGAGUGAAAGAGAACUUGAAACCGUGUGCUUACAAGUAGUCAGAGCCCGUUAAUGGGUGAUGGCGUGCCUUUUGUAGAAUGAACCGGCGAGUUACGAUCUGAUGCAAGGUUAAGCAGCAAAUGUGGAGCCGCAGCGAAAGCGAGUCUGAAUAGGGCGUUGAGUAUUUGGUCGUAGACCCGAAACCAGGUGAUCUACCCUUGGUCAGGUUGAAGUUCAGGUAACACUGAAUGGAGGACCGAACCGACUUACGUUGAAAAGUGAGCGGAUGAACUGAGGGUAGCGGAGAAAUUCCAAUCGAACUUGGAGAUAGCUGGUUCUCUCCGAAAUAGCUUUAGGGCUAGCCUCAAGUGAUGAUUAUUGGAGGUAGAGCACUGUUUGGACGAGGGGCCCCUCUCGGGUUACCGAAUUCAGACAAACUCCGAAUGCCAAUUAAUUUAACUUGGGAGUCAGAACAUGGGUGAUAAGGUCCGUGUUCGAAAGGGAAACAGCCCAGACCACCAGCUAAGGUCCCAAAAUAUAUGUUAAGUGGAAAAGGAUGUGGCGUUGCCCAGACAACUAGGAUGUUGGCUUAGAAGCAGCCAUCAUUUAAAGAGUGCGUAAUAGCUCACUAGUCGAGUGACCCUGCGCCGAAAAUGUACCGGGGCUAAACAUAUUACCGAAGCUGUGGAUUGUCCUUUGGACAAUGGUAGGAGAGCGUUCUAAGGGCGUCGAAGCAUGAUCGCAAGGACAUGUGGAGCGCUUAGAAGUGAGAAUGCCGGUGUGAGUAGCGAAAGACGGGUGAGAAUCCCGUCCACCGAUUGACUAAGGUUUCCAGAGGAAGGCUCGUCCGCUCUGGGUUAGUCGGGUCCUAAGCUGAGGCCGACAGGCGUAGGCGAUGGAUAACAGGUUGAUAUUCCUGUACCACCUAGUAUCGUUUUAAUCGAUGGGGGACGCAGUAGGAUAGGCGAAGCGUGCUGUUGGAGUGCACGUCCAAGCAGUAAGGCUGAGUGUUAGGCAAAUCCGGCACUCAUAAGGCUGAGCUGUGAUGGGGAGAGGAAAUUGUUUCCUCGAGUCGUUGAUUUCACACUGCCGAGAAAAGCCUCUAGAUAGAUAACAGGUGCCCGUACCGCAAACCGACACAGGUAGUCAAGAUGAGAAUUCUAAGGUGAGCGAGCGAACUCUCGUUAAGGAACUCGGCAAAAUGACCCCGUAACUUCGGGAGAAGGGGUGCUCUUUAGGGUUCACGCCCAGAAGAGCCGCAGUGAAUAGGCCCAAGCGACUGUUUAUCAAAAACACAGGUCUCUGCUAAACCGUAAGGUGAUGUAUAGGGGCUGACGCCUGCCCGGUGCUGGAAGGUUAAGAGGAGUGGUUAGCUUCUGCGAAGCUACGAAUCGAAGCCCCAGUAAACGGCGGCCGUAACUAUAACGGUCCUAAGGUAGCGAAAUUCCUUGUCGGGUAAGUUCCGACCUGC